GGGCGGCACAGUUGAUGUCAUGAUGCAAGUAGGGAGGUGUAAAGGACAAUUAUUAAAUGUGUUUUUAUUAUUAAUAAUAAUAGUAUCUCUUUCAUUAACAUUGCAGGUACAUAAUAAAAAACCAAAUGAAUCAGAAAUAGGAGAGACAACAGAACCGAAAGCUUGCCUCAGAAUUGUGAAAGUGCCUGGAAUAUUUCUGUGCCAUAUAUUAUUAAUCAUUAUCAUUAUUAAUACCAUUAUUAUCGUAAAACAAAAUUGCCACUCUGAAAAUGCAAACAUCGUUUUUUUUUAUGAAUGUGGCUAGAUUGUCUUCAUCUUCUUCUCAUUUUUGAUUUAUAUACACAAUGUCAUAGAAUACAAGAAAACCACUGAAACACGCUCCUCUGCAGAGCCCGCUCUCUCAAAAUGUAUCAAAAGCUACUGUUUGUUUUCUGCGGGUUCAGGUAUGACAGUCGGAAAGUGACAUUCCUCUUAAUGAUAUACCAAGCCCCCAACCAAGCAGGCCACAGAACACUGAAGAAAAAGACCAACACUUUGAAAAGUUAAACCAAAGGGUCAAUAUUUUGACAGACCAGAAGAGAUUUAGGAAACCGUUAAUUGGUUUUCUCUUUGCGUAUAGGUUAACUUACUUUGCAUAAUGUGUGGCUCUACAGGCAAUUAAAUACACUGUCUGACUGUGUCUCUUUAGAAGCUGCUAGCUCUAUGAGGUAUCAGUUUAACAAUGAUACGAUGUUGGAUUCUAUCUAUAAAAUCAAUCUGGUCAAAUCCUGUAAAAUAUUGUGUUGUACUUCAUAGGAUUACUCUCACAAGAGGUAUGUAUGACACGGUGAUUGGGUUUAUGAGUGCACAGUCUCUCGUCGAUGUUCUCUUGGAGACAUUAGCUCAGUCAUGGCAACAUUAGAGUGACAUGCAUUGUAUCAGGACCAACCCACCACAGGUCUAAUGGCACCUCCACAGUGCCUCUCAACCAAGCUUUAUAUCCUGGUAAAGAAUGACGUUGGGGUCUUUUAAGUAACUCUAGUUGCUUUAUUGGACUUCAUGACAUCAUAUAUUGGCCAAUCAAAAGAAGGAAAAAAAGAAAUCUAUGUAAAGCCCUAAAAUGUGAAUCAUGUGGCGGAUUUCUGAUAUAGUUUCUUCAAAACGCACAAUUUAACUUUGGUCUCACUUGCUUGUAAAUAAUGAGGAUAAUGUUCAAGUUCUUGUAAUAUUUUGGACCACUCAAAAGUUGAAAGGGUUUCAAUUGAAUUUUAGAGGAAUCAAAAUGGACACUUGCCUAGCUUGCCACUAAUCGUAGAGACAUUUCUCUUGGGUCAAAUAACAUGAUUUGCUCCUGUAUUUUGGUCCCUUUGUAUAGUCAAAGACAGUCACAUGGUAUGCUGAACAUUUCUUCUUAUAGGAACAUACGUAUGACAAUAACACGGAACAUAUCGUAGAGGUCAACUGUGUUCAUUGUGUCAUUCUUUUAAAAUGGCUGCCAUCCUUCUUCAUAGGGAGCAAGGAGGCACUACUUCAAGGUUACCCGGUAUUUAUGUGCGGUGGGAGAAUGAAGAUAUUUAUUAUGAAUUUGCUUUGAGAAAUGUCUUCUGAUGUGAAUUGUGUUUUAUCUUUAAAUACACUGACAUAGUAUUUCAUAGGUUGAAUACAUAUCUAGUUGCUAUGAACACUCCUCAGUGAUGAAAAAGUCUUGGAAACACAAACAUACAUUGCCCCAUCCAAUAAUGAUAUUAGGACUUCAUGAAAACAUCUAAAAUACAUUUUUU
Molecule: long non-coding RNA, 1760 nt
Organism: Esox lucius (northern pike)
Lineage: Eukaryota; Metazoa; Chordata; Actinopteri; Esociformes; Esocidae
Source: Ensembl